CCUACGGGAGGCAGCAGUGGGGAAUAUUGGACAAUGGGGGCAACCCUGAUCCAGCCAUGCCGCGUGUGUGAAGAAGGCCCUCGGGUUGUGAAGCACUUUCAGUGAGGAAGAACGCCUGGUGGUUAAUACCCAUCAGGAAAGACAUCACUCACAGAAGAAGCACCGGCUAACUCCGUGCCAGCAGCCGCGGUAAUACGGAGGGUGCGAGCGUUAAUCGGAAUUACUGGGCGUAAAGCGCGCGUAGGUGGCUUGAUAAGCCGGUUGUGAAAGCCCCGGGCUCAACCUGGGAACGGCAUCCGGAACUGUCAAGCUAGAGUGCAGGAGAGGAAGGUAGAAUUCCCGGUGUAGCGGUGAAAUGCGUAGAGAUCGGGAGGAAUACCAGUGGCGAAGGCGGCCUUCUGGACUGACACUGACACUGAGGUGCGAAAGCGUGGGUAGCAAACAGGAUUAGAUACCCGUGUAGUC
Molecule: ribosomal RNA, 465 nt
Filed under: Vreelandella stevensii
Lineage: Bacteria; Pseudomonadati; Pseudomonadota; Gammaproteobacteria; Oceanospirillales; Halomonadaceae
Description: partial 16S ribosomal RNA
Rfam family: Bacterial small subunit ribosomal RNA
Source: RNAcentral